Molecule: non-coding RNA, 121 nt
Organism: Picea glauca (white spruce)
Lineage: Eukaryota; Viridiplantae; Streptophyta; Pinopsida; Pinales; Pinaceae
Source: Rfam
ACAUGCCUACAACAUAGCAUUAAUGCACUGGAUCCCAUUAUAACUCUGCAGUUAAGCACACCCGGGCUAGAGCAGUACUGGGAUGGGUGACUGCCCGAGAAAUCCUAGUAUUUUACAUGCC